This 253-nucleotide ribosomal RNA is filed under the name uncultured bacterium. RNAcentral describes it as "partial 16S ribosomal RNA". It matches the Rfam family "Bacterial small subunit ribosomal RNA", at positions 524 to 776 of the family's 1533-position model. The record is from RNAcentral.
UACGUAGGGGGCAAGCGUUGUCCGGAAUCAUUGGGCGUAAAGCGCGUGUAGGCGGUUUGUCGCGUCGGGAGUGAAAACUCAGGGCUUAACCCUGAGCCUGCUUCCGAUACGGGCAGACUAGAGGUAUGCAGGGGAGAACGGAAUUCCUGGUGUAGCGGUGAAAUGCGCAGAUAUCAGGAGGAACACCGGUGGCGAAGGCGGUUCUCUGGGCAUUACCUGACGCUGAGGAGCGAAAGUGUGGGGAGCGAACAGG